This 135-nucleotide ribosomal RNA is filed under the name uncultured bacterium. RNAcentral's name for it is "partial 16S ribosomal RNA". The record is from RNAcentral.
CACGGAGUUAGCCGGAGCUUAUUCUCCCGGUACUGUCAUUAUCAUCCCGGGUAAAAGAGCUUUACAACCCUAGGGCCUUCAUCACUCACGCGGCAUUGCUGGAUCAGGCUUUCGCCCAUUGUCCAAUAUUCCCCA